This 400-nucleotide small RNA is filed under the name Pan troglodytes (chimpanzee). RNAcentral describes it as "processed transcript". The record is from RNAcentral. Lineage: Eukaryota; Metazoa; Chordata; Mammalia; Primates; Hominidae.
AGGUUAGAAGGCCAGUCUCAGUCCUUGUCCCUUAAAUGUCUGGGGAACCUGGGGGCUGGGCCCUCCAGCGUCCAUCCCUGGGACAGAAGCUUGCUUGUGUUCACACCCCAUAGGUUCCUGGAGUGACUGAGAGCCGCCCCUCAGUGCUACGGGGCGACCACCUGUUUGCCCUUUUGUCCUCGGAGACACACCAGGAGGACCCCAUCACAUAUAAGGGCUUUGUACACAAGGUGGAAUUGGACCGUGUCAAGCUGAGCUUUUCCAUGAGCCUCCUGAGCCGCUUUGUGGAUGGGCUGACCUUCAAGGUGAACUUUACCUUCAACCGCCAGCCGCUGCGAGUCCAGCACCGUGCCCUGGAGCUGACGGGGCGCUGGCUGCUGUGGCCCAUGCUCUUUCCUGU